Long non-coding RNA from Cyprinus carpio carpio, 1634 nucleotides. The record is from Ensembl. Lineage: Eukaryota; Metazoa; Chordata; Actinopteri; Cypriniformes; Cyprinidae.
AUCGUCGCUGGUGAAAUCCAUGAAGACGUCGCCAUUAUCCUCGUGUGGCUUUGAAAGUCAUUGAGAGAUUUUGUUUGCCACCUGAUGCAAAAGUAACAUACAGGGAUGCAACAGGGACAGAAGUCGAUGAAGAAAUAUUCAGUGACCUCAUUGGACAAGGCAAUGUGGUGCUGACUGUUUUCUCAAAUGACGAAUUUUCAGACUCUUUUUCUUCCACAUCUGAGAAGUCUGACAAAAGCAACAGUUCAAGUGCAUCGACUAUAAUCUUAGAUGAGGUCCCUAACAAGAGACAGAGAAAAGAGGACACAUCUGCACUGUCUGCAAAGCAGUUGGUCGAGGAUGUUCUUAAAUUGAAGUCUGGUGGUGAAGCAGUACUACAGGAGUAUCAAGAAACAGAAACCCUUACAGAUGCCACAAGAAGACAAAUGAUCAACAUUCUGGUGGCUCACAUGAUUGAUACACAUGGGCAACUCCCUACUAAAGCCAUCAGAGAACAGUAUGCUCUUGGCAUAGUGAUGAUGUUCCCUUCCCUCAGAGAUCCUUAUUCCAAGAAAGGAUAUGAACACUUUUAUGAUGCUGCAAGCAACACAGGAUACAUUGCUUGGCGUAUGAAAACAGUCCACAGGAAGAUUAGACGAGGAUCUUUGCCACUAGACAGCCCUCAUGAUGUUUCUCCAGGAGGCCCAAAAUGCCAAAGGGCUACUAAUUUUGAAGGGCAACUUGAUGGGGAUGCUUGCAGAGAGGCCAUUUCUUUGCUCAGCCACACUACAGAGAAGUCCCUAAUAUUCCAAAAGAUGAGAGAGACCUUUCAGCAUCGCCAGAAGCUUGUUAAAGAUCCAGGCUCUAGUGUUGAUAUCCUCUCCACCUUCCCAAGAUUCCUAGAUACAAAAGGCCUGGUUGAUCAAGACUUCACUCUCCUGUUUGACACCGAGACAUCCUCCAGGCUGCUUCAGAAGUGGGACACGUUCUUCAGGCCAAAUGUCAUUAGAGAGGCCAAGCAACUUACUUCAACAGCAGAGCUGAGUCAGUUGUUGCUCUCAGCAGAAUGUCCUAAAGGAAGUGACCUUCAUGAAACAAUCUACGACCAGGAAAUGGCAUCCCUUCUUUUACUGAUACAUCUCCUUCCACCAUCACCAGGAGGACCGAAGUCUCCAAAAAUCAGUGCAUGUGAUGCUGCUGAAAGACUUGUAAUCUUUCAUAAGUCAUGCUGCAGUUUGGAGGAGCACCUCAACAACAUCCAGCAUCAGCAUCCCUACCUCCUUGCUGUUGGACGCCAGAAAAGCAAGACUGAGUGCUUCUACAUCAUCUUGGAUAAGCAUCUCAUCCCAUGCCAGGCAAACCGCUCCCUUGGAGCAUUUGAUGAACUUUUCAAGGCACAUUUUGUGUUCAAUUUAUCCUAUGAUAGUGCACUUCUAAACUUUUACACAUUCCUGCAGACAACAGUGUAUAACAUUGAUGUAGGUAAGAUGAAGGAGUCUCCCAGGGUUAGAGAUUUGAGAGCCAGACUGCUCAACCAGACAGUAACCUUAACUUAAAGUCGGGCAGUAUGAUGUUGACAGAAUGCUGAUCUGUUUUAUUUGUCAAAAAGAGCACCCAGAGAGUCAACAGUUGAUUUCCCAUUUAAGAGGUGAACA